AAACAAAGUCGGGAACAAUAGGGCUUUUCAUUCACAGUCAUUUGUUUCGAGCUUCUGUCAUGUGUCACAUAAUAUUAAUAUAUCUACGUCGUACGUUAUUGGUAUAUACCCAUGAUACAAACCAAAGACGUAUGACGUAGAUAUAUUAAUAUUAUGUGACACAUGACAGAAGCUCGAAACAAAUGACAAUCGAUGAAAGGCCCUAUGGAUAAAAGCUAGAAGGAGAACAAAACUAAAAUUAAAAUAUGAAAGAAUAUGCAAUAAACAUUGUGUAAGUGAAAAGCCAGCCACUUUAAAAAGAUGUUCCAAACCAAAACAUGAGUUACCAAAGCAGGCAAUAAAAAGAAAAGGUGAUCUAGAAUGCAAGAAAAGAGCUGAUGAAAGAAGUAAAUAUAAAGAAAAUAAUGCGGAGACUUCUCUCGACCAUGAACAAACACCAGAUAUUUUAUAUAUGCAGAAAAAGGAAAAACUGCUGGAACUUUAAUUUAAAGGCUUUUGACUAGUGAAGAUUUGGAUAAACAACAGGAGUUACUUUGGGCUAUAGCUACGUGCAAAUUUAUUUUCUUGUGGCUUCCUAUGUUUAUUCUUAUUAACUAUACACUUUGAUAUGUUUUUAGUCGCAUGAAGAUUUUAUAGUUUAUUAUUUUAUGUAUAUUGUUAUAUUUGUGUUGAAUAAACAUUAUUAUUAUUA
Molecule: long non-coding RNA, 691 nt
Organism: Diabrotica virgifera virgifera (western corn rootworm)
Lineage: Eukaryota; Metazoa; Arthropoda; Insecta; Coleoptera; Chrysomelidae
Exons: 3
Source: RefSeq, a predicted model, not a curated record